CCAGGGAUCAAAUCCGCAACUCUUGCAUCUCCUGCACUGGCGGCAGAUUCUUUUACCACUGUGCCACCUGGGAAACUGCAUAGAAGGAUUAAAACCAUCUAGUUUGGUGGAAGAAUACCCAAGAACUGAAUGGGAUAAUUUACUUACAGUGAGAUUAUAUGUAUAUGGUUACAUGACAACCAUGAUGGUGCCUGUAAUUGGAUUCUUGACAUGGGAGCACAGAUUAUUGAUUUGAAGUUUUUCCCUUUUCUAAUUAAAUAUUUAGUGCUAUAUAUUCCCCUCUUAUUACUGCUUUCAUUGGAUCAUCAAAAAAGCAAGGAAGUUCUAGAAAAACAUCUACUUCUGCUUUAUUGACUACACCAA
Odocoileus virginianus texanus is the source of this 363-nucleotide non-coding RNA. The record is from RefSeq and is a predicted model, not a curated record. NCBI's taxonomy places the organism in Eukaryota, Metazoa, Chordata, Mammalia, Artiodactyla, Cervidae.